AAGACUUAGUCCUAACCUUACCGUUAAUUCUUGCUAAAUAUAUACAUGCAAGUAUCCGCGUCCCAGUGUAAAUGCCCUUGAUUUCUUGUUAAGAAAAAAGGAGCGGGUAUCAGGCACACCCAAAGUGCAGCCCAAGACGCCUUGCUUAGCCACACCCCCACGGGUACUCAGCAGUAAUUAACAUUAAGCAAUGAGUGAAAACUUGACUUAGUUAUAGCAACUUUAGGGUUGGUAAAUCUUGUGCCAGCCACCGCGGUCACACAAGAGACCCAAAUUAACAGUAUGCGGCGUAAAGAGUGGUACUAUGAUAUCACAACAACUAAGACCAAAGCACAACUAAGCUGUCAUAAGCCCAAGAUGUGUCUAAGACCCUCCUCAAAAUGAUCUUAGCGCUUUUGAUUGAUUUUAGCCCACGAAAGCUAAGACACAAACUGGGAUUAGAUACCCCACUAUGCUUAGCCCUAAAUCUUGAUGUCUUUCCACUACCAAAGCAUCCGCCCGAGAACUACGAGCACAAACGCUUAAAACUCUAAGGACUUGGCGGUGCCCCAAAUCCACCUAGAGGAGCCUGUUCUAUAAUCGAUAACCCACGUUACACCCGACCUCCCCUUGCCUAAAGGCAGCCUACAUACCGCCGUCGCCAGCUCACCUCCCCUGAGAGAUCAAUAGUGAGCACAAUAGCCCAGAUCCGCUAACAAGACAGGUCGAGGUAUAGCCUACGGGGUGGAAGAAAUGGGCUACAUUUUCUAAAAUAGAAAACCCACGAAAGGGGAUGUGAAACCAUCCCCCGAAGGCGGAUUUAGUAGUAAAGCGGGAUCAUAUAAGCCCUCUUUAAAUCGGCCCUGGGGCACGUACAUACCGCCCGUCACCCUCCUCAUAAGCUAUAAGCCUACAAUCUCUAAUACAACCAUCAGCCGAAGAUGAGGUAAGUCGUAACAAGGUAAGUGUACCGGAAGGUGCACUUAGCAUAU
Molecule: ribosomal RNA, 971 nt
Filed under: Limosa lapponica baueri
Lineage: Eukaryota; Metazoa; Chordata; Aves; Charadriiformes; Scolopacidae
Description: 12S ribosomal RNA
Rfam family: Bacterial small subunit ribosomal RNA
Source: RNAcentral